Molecule: ribosomal RNA, 839 nt
Filed under: Bacillus amyloliquefaciens
Lineage: Bacteria; Bacillati; Bacillota; Bacilli; Caryophanales; Bacillaceae
Description: bacterial SSU rRNA
Rfam family: Bacterial small subunit ribosomal RNA
Source: RNAcentral
GUCGAGCGGACAGAUGGGAGCUUGCUCCCUGAUGUUAGCGGCGGACGGGUGAGUAACACGUGGGUAACCUGCCUGUAAGACUGGGAUAACUCCGGGAAACCGGGGCUAAUACCGGAUGGUUGUUUGAACCGCAUGGUUCAGACAUAAAAGGUGGCUUCGGCUACCACUUACAGAUGGACCCGCGGCGCAUUAGCUAGUUGGUGAGGUAACGGCUCACCAAGGCAACGAUGCGUAGCCGACCUGAGAGGGUGAUCGGCCACACUGGGACUGAGACACGGCCCAGACUCCUACGGGAGGCAGCAGUAGGGAAUCUUCCGCAAUGGACGAAAGUCUGACGGAGCAACGCCGCGUGAGUGAUGAAGGUUUUCGGAUCGUAAAGCUCUGUUGUUAGGGAAGAACAAGUGCCGUUCAAAUAGGGCGGCACCUUGACGGUACCUAACCAGAAAGCCACGGCUAACUACGUGCCAGCAGCCGCGGUAAUACGUAGGUGGCAAGCGUUGUCCGGAAUUAUUGGGCGUAAAGGGCUCGCAGGCGGUUUCUUAAGUCUGAUGUGAAAGCCCCCGGCUCAACCGGGGAGGGUCAUUGGAAACUGGGGAACUUGAGUGCAGAAGAGGAGAGUGGAAUUCCACGUGUAGCGGUGAAAUGCGUAGAGAUGUGGAGGAACACCAGUGGCGAAGGCGACUCUCUGGUCUGUAACUGACGCUGAGGAGCGAAAGCGUGGGGAGCGAACAGGAUUAGAUACCCUGGUAGUCCACGCCGUAAACGAUGAGUGCUAAGUGUUAGGGGGUUUCCGCCCCUUAGUGCUGCAGCUAACGCAUUAAGCACUCCGCCUGGGGAGU